RNAcentral lists this ribosomal RNA (253 nucleotides) under uncultured bacterium. RNAcentral's name for it is "partial 16S ribosomal RNA". It matches the Rfam family "Bacterial small subunit ribosomal RNA", at positions 524 to 776 of the family's 1533-position model. The record is from RNAcentral.
UACGAAGGGGGCUAGCGUUGCUCGGAAUCACUGGGCGUAAAGCGCACGUAGGCGGCUUCUUAAGUCAGGGGUGAAAUCCUGGAGCUCAACUCCAGAACUGCCUUUGAUACUGAGAAGCUUGAGUCCGGGAGAGGUGAGUGGAACUGCGAGUGUAGAGGUGAAAUUCGUAGAUAUUGGGAAGAACACCGGUGGCGAAGGCGGCUCACUGGCUCGUAACUGACGCUCAGGCGCGAUAGCGUGGGGAUCAAACAGG